GCGAGGAUGGGAGCUAACCACCCCCCCAUCCCAUUCCCUCCCCUCCCGUCUCCUCCCUCCACCUUCCUUCGGGAAAGAGCUGGGGCGGUUCAUGAGACACAUCAAUGAGCAAAGAGCAGCCUUCAGAAACAAACCAUUCACAAUCAAUCCAUGGAGGGAAAACCUGAAAAAAAAAAUCACUGAAUAAUUCUGAAUGAUUUACUGCUGGCUGCAAGUGUGGAGUACAAAUCCCAGAGACACCUGGAAUCAAGAAGAGGAAGUGAUAAGCAAUCCUGCAGAGUUCUUCUGCUAUGAGUCUGGACUGCAAAUCCCAGAGACUUCAGGGGCAGCAGGAAGAGGAAGCAAACACACAGCCCAUGCUGGCCACAUGCCAGAAAGCUGUGCUCUAGUGCCCCCUGGCUUCUGG
Long non-coding RNA from Alligator sinensis (Chinese alligator), 406 nucleotides. RefSeq lists it as uncharacterized. The transcript is spliced from 3 exons. The record is from RefSeq and is a predicted model, not a curated record. NCBI's taxonomy places the organism in Eukaryota, Metazoa, Chordata, Crocodylia, Alligatoridae.